GGACUACCGGGGUUUCUAAUCCUGUUUGCUACCCAUGCUUUCGUCCCUGAGCGUCAGUAUCGAGCCAGAUAACCGCCUUCGCUACUGGUGUUCUUCAUGAUCUCUACACAUUUCACCGCUACACCAUGAAUUCCAUUAUCCUCUCUCGAACUCAAGACAAGCAGUAUCGAAGGCAAUUUCACGGUUGAGCCGUGAACUUUCACCACCGACUUGCUUGCCCGCCUGCGGACCCUUUACACCCAGUAAUUCCGGACAACGCUUGCACCCUACGUAUUACCGCGGCUGCUGGCAC
RNAcentral lists this ribosomal RNA (292 nucleotides) under uncultured bacterium. RNAcentral's name for it is "partial 16S ribosomal RNA". The record is from RNAcentral.